RNAcentral lists this long non-coding RNA (348 nucleotides) under Helianthus annuus (common sunflower). Its description in RNAcentral is "sRNA HanXRQr2_Chr16g0750401". The record is from RNAcentral. Lineage: Eukaryota; Viridiplantae; Streptophyta; Magnoliopsida; Asterales; Asteraceae.
CAUGUUAUACGCGGCCGGGGUGCAUUCCCGAGAAUAUGAUGAAACAUAAUGAAGCUCUCGGUAUGUUAAAAGGUCACUCAGAGGUAAGAAUUAACAUGUUGACACUCUUAACCCUUUGACGCGCAAACUUUCACAUAAUUACGCAAACGACUCCUCUCGUCCGACAAGUGGCUCAUUUGAGAAUACGGACACCGUAUAAGGUCACUCAGGGGCCUAGUUUAGGCAUGUUGACACUUUCAGUCCUUCUAUAAUCAUGGUUUUUGAUUUUUGACAAAAUUAGUCCCUCAUAGUCAACGUUUGACUUUAUUAGGGUUCAUUACACGUGUCACCACAUCAUUGGACACGAUU